Molecule: non-coding RNA, 72 nt
Filed under: Aspergillus oryzae RIB40
Lineage: Eukaryota; Fungi; Ascomycota; Eurotiomycetes; Eurotiales; Aspergillaceae
Source: RNAcentral
CUUCAGCGAAGUGCAGGUACCUCAUCGCGGUGCUGAAGUCUAGUACCCCUUUGGGGGGAAGCCAAGACCUGC